GGGGCUGUAGCUCAGUGGUAGAGCGCUUACCUCGCACAUGUGAGGCACUGGGUUCAAUCCUCAGCACCA
RNAcentral lists this transfer RNA (69 nucleotides) under Marmota marmota marmota (Alpine marmot). It matches the Rfam family "tRNA". Rfam says of the family: Transfer RNA (tRNA) molecules are approximately 80 nucleotides in length. Their secondary structure includes four short double-helical elements and three loops (D, anti-codon, and T loops). Further hydrogen bonds mediate the characteristic L-shaped molecular structure. tRNAs have two regions of fundamental functional importance: the anti-codon, which is responsible for specific mRNA codon recognition, and the 3' end, to which the tRNAs corresponding amino acid is attached (by aminoacyl-tRNA synthetases). tRNAs cope with the degeneracy of the genetic code in two manners: having more than one tRNA (with a specific anti-codon) for a particular amino acid; and 'wobble' base-pairing, i.e. permitting non-standard base-pairing at the 3rd anti-codon position. The record is from Rfam by way of RNAcentral. RNAcentral also lists the same sequence under 4 other names. Lineage: Eukaryota; Metazoa; Chordata; Mammalia; Rodentia; Sciuridae.